This 1257-nucleotide unclassified non-coding RNA is filed under the name Leishmania donovani. RNAcentral describes it as "gene:LdHU3.21.2520(CDS-product:SET_domain_contain ing_protein_putative)". Lineage: Eukaryota; Euglenozoa; Kinetoplastea; Trypanosomatida; Trypanosomatidae. The record is from RNAcentral.
UUGUGGGCUCUUCUCGGUUGUUACAAUGUCACCAGUGCUGGUUCCUACGGCAUGUGAGAACUGGUCUCUGAAUAUCGAUGAUGAGUCCACAAGGCGAUUUUGGUGGAACAACACAUACAGUAUUACGCUUUGGGAAGAGACGCUGAAUAUCGAAAAGCAAACGGAAACGAUCACAGACGGCGAUGUAUGGUCCAAGUUUAUUGACCUUCAGUUGCGAUGCGCUUUCAAAAUAUGCUCCAUUUGCCAUUCACCAGAAGGCAACGAUGACAUGAAAAUCUGUUGCUACUGCGGUAAUACUGUCCAUGAAAAUUGCUCGGAGCCUGCAGCGCCGGAGCAGAUCAUGUGGAAACCUGCGAAUCUUGCAUACGUAGAGCACAUGCGCGCCUGCUUUCAGUGCCAAGCAGUCGAUUACAAAGAGCCGUCCGCUCCUCAGUCGCCGAGCGAGUGCGACAAUGCUCGUCGUGCUGCGAAGAGAGCACUAACAAUAUCCGACGAAUAUCCACCGGCUACCGUUGAGCGGAUUCAAGAGCUCUUGCAGCAAGCGGAGACCACUUCUAAUGACGCAGUGCUUCUUGGCGAGCUGAAAUCUCUCGUGCAAAGUUAUUUUCAGUCUCCACAGUCGCUACGGUUCUUGCGCAAAGAGCGCGUUGCCUCAAAAGGUGGCGGAAUAGGUGUGGUAGCGGCCCAGAAAAUACCUGCUUUCUCCAUUAUCGGUGUUUACCCCGGAUACUUGGAUUUCAUGAGUGGCGAGCAAGCCAAGUGUGGUCGCCCUGUACCGAAAUAUGCUUUGAUGGAGUACAACUGCGCCAACUACUUUAAUGAGGUGUUUGUAGAACUGCAAACUACUUUCACGCCCUUUAUCAAUGAACCAAAUGUCGAUGAAAAAAGCAACUGCGCCUGGAUCCAGGAGCCACACCGCAAAAACGGGCGAUUGAGUGUCAUCUGCGUUCGGGAUAUUCAAGAGGGUGAGGAGCUUACGAUUGGAUACGGUCCCAUUUAUCCUCGCACGUAUCCGUAUUGCUACGAUGCGUAUGCCUGCCAUCAGAUUGAGGGCCAUGCCACGCAUCCGUGCUAUUCACUGUGGCACUGGCCUACCCUGCAGGAAGCAGACGCGCGAUUUGUGUGUUACAUUGGCUACAUUGAGAAAGAGGAUUGCUAUGUUCUUUGGAAAAACGAGACAUGAUGAUGUCCCCGUUUACUCCAAACAACACACACACACACACACACACACACACACACACACACAAAACUAUGUCC